AGAGUUUGAUCAUGGCUCAGGAUGAACGCUGGCGGCGUGCUUAACACAUGCAAGUCGAACGCUGAAGCUCCCAGCUUGCUGGGGGUGGAUGAGUGGCGAACGGGUGAGUAUCACGUGAGUAACCUGCCCUUGACUCUGGGAUAAGCCCGGGAAACUGGGUCUAAUACUGGAUAGGACUGGCCAUCGCAUGGUGGUUGGUUGAAAGCUUUUGCGGUUUUGGAUGGACUCGCGGCCUAUCAGCUUGUUGGUGGGGUAAUGGCCUACCAAGGCUUUGACGGGUAGCCGGCCUGAGAGGGUGACCGGCCACACUGGGACUGAGACACGGCCCAGACUCCUACGGGAGGCGGCAGUGGGGGAUAUUGCACAAUGGGCGCAAGCCUGAUGCAGCGACGCCGCGUGAGGGAUGACGGCCUUCGGGUUGUAAACCUCUUUCAGUUGGGAAGAAGCCUUUCGGGGUGACGGUACCUUCAGAAGAAGCACCGGCUAACUACGUGCCAGCAGCCGCGGUAAUACGUAGGGUGCGAGCGUUAUCCGGAAUUAUUGGGCGUAAAGAGCUCGUAGGCGGUUUGUCACGUCUGCUGUGAAAGCUCGGGGCUUAACUCCGAGUGUGCAGUGGGUACGGGCAGGCUGGAGUGCAGUAGGGGAGACUGGAAUUCCUGGUGUAGCGGUGAAAUGCGCAGAUAUCAGGAGGAACACCGAUGGCGAA
This 706-nucleotide ribosomal RNA is filed under the name uncultured bacterium. Its description in RNAcentral is "bacterial SSU rRNA". It matches the Rfam family "Bacterial small subunit ribosomal RNA", at positions 8 to 719 of the family's 1533-position model. The record is from RNAcentral.